This 305-nucleotide ribosomal RNA is filed under the name uncultured bacterium. RNAcentral's name for it is "bacterial SSU rRNA". It matches the Rfam family "Bacterial small subunit ribosomal RNA", at positions 337 to 659 of the family's 1533-position model. The record is from RNAcentral.
UCCUACGGGAGGCAGCAGUAGGGAAUAUUGCUCAAUGGGGGAAACCCUGAAGCAGCAACGCCGCGUGGAGGAUGAAGGUUUUCGGAUUGUAAACUCCUUUUGUUAGAGAAGAUAAUGACGGUAUCUAACGAAUAAGCACCGGCUAACUCCGUGCCAGCAGCCGCGGUAAUACGGAGGGUGCAAGCGUUACUCGGAAUCACUGGGCGUAAAGAGCGCGUAGGCGGGAUAGCAAGUCAGAUGUGGAAUGCUAUGGCUUAACCAUAGAACUGCAUUUGAAACUGGUAUUCUAGAGGAUGGGAGAGGUA